GGAGAGAGUCCGGAUGGUCAUGGAUGCUGUCUUGAAAACAUACUGUCCGCCAUUUGGCGGAUCAAGAGUUCGAAUCUCUUUCUCUCCG
This 88-nucleotide transfer RNA is filed under the name Ferruginibacter sp. RNAcentral's name for it is "tRNA-Ser". It matches the Rfam family "tRNA". From Rfam's summary of the family: Transfer RNA (tRNA) molecules are approximately 80 nucleotides in length. The record is from RNAcentral. Lineage: Bacteria; Pseudomonadati; Bacteroidota; Chitinophagia; Chitinophagales; Chitinophagaceae.